AGGUGUCUGCCACCAUGCCCAGCUAAUUUUUGUACUUUUAGUAGAGAUGGGUUUUCACCAUGUUGGCCAGGCUGGUCUAAAACUGCUGACCUGAAGUGAUCAGCUAGCUCCGGCCUCUCAAAGUGCAGGGAUUUACAGGCAUGAGCCACCAUGCCCAGCCUGAAUUGUAUACUUUAAAAGGGUAAAUUUUAUGGUGUGUAAAUUACAUCUCUGUAAUGCUGUUAAACUAAUUAACAAUAUAGGCAGAAGGUUCUAAAGAGGAAUGUGAUG
Molecule: long non-coding RNA, 270 nt
Organism: Nomascus leucogenys (northern white-cheeked gibbon)
Lineage: Eukaryota; Metazoa; Chordata; Mammalia; Primates; Hylobatidae
Exons: 3
Source: RefSeq, a predicted model, not a curated record